GAGUUUUGAUAUGAUUUUGGGAGUAGAUUGGCUAAAAAGCUUUAAUCCAAUAUUAUUUGAUUUCAAGGCUUCUAAAAUUUCUUUUAAGAAGGAAGGAAAAGAAGUGGUAUUGCAAGGAGUAGGGAAGGCAAGGGCAGCACUUGUUUUAUAUGCUAUUGAGAGUUUCUUUCAGUAGAAAAGGAUGAAUUUCAAGUCCCCACUAUUGUAUGUAUUGAAUUCUUUGACAACAGCAGGUGCUUCAUCAUCUGACAGUCAACCUGUAGUUACAGAAGGAGCUACACUGACCUCUGAGGAGAAUGAAAAAUUGCAGUCACUGUUGCAACAAUAUAAUGAGAUAUUUCAGGAACCUCAUGAAUUGCCACCAUUUAGGAGGUAUAAUCAUAUCAUUCCUUUGCUGCCCCAUACUCAACCAGUUAAUAUCAGGCCAUAUAGGUAU
RNAcentral lists this unclassified non-coding RNA (436 nucleotides) under Hevea brasiliensis (rubber tree). Lineage: Eukaryota; Viridiplantae; Streptophyta; Magnoliopsida; Malpighiales; Euphorbiaceae. The record is from RNAcentral.